This 5652-nucleotide small RNA is filed under the name Rattus norvegicus (Norway rat). RNAcentral's name for it is "uncharacterized LOC102547814". The record is from RNAcentral. Lineage: Eukaryota; Metazoa; Chordata; Mammalia; Rodentia; Muridae.
UACCACUGAGCUAAAUCCCCAACCCCCAAAGAACCUUUCUAAACAGGUCCACUUCCCACAUAGCCUUUCAUUCCCACUACCUCUGGGGGGGGGGGGUGGCUACAAGGGAGGUUAAAGUGUUUAAGAACCGUCAUGGAAAAUAGGAUUUGAAAAAAAAUUAAAAUUACAGGUCUCUACCCACUAAAAGCCUGUAGCAUGCCAUUCCAGCUGUGGCAACUAGAAAUGUCUUCAGAUAGUGCCAAAUAUCCCCUAAGGGACAAACUUUCCCCAAUGGAAUCCCCUGUGCUAAGACAAUGAACCCCACAAUGUGCCCAGGAGGAGUGAGUUCUUGGUGGAAAGUGGUAAAAACUUUAUGUUUCUGGUCCAGCUGAUGGGGUCAAGCAGAGACAGCUUGAGAGACAUGGAGACUAAAGGGACUAUACAGACAGAAACCCGGGACCUCAUGGAUUUGGCGAGCAAGGCUUUGUAGUUCCCAAGCUGCAGUUCUGAAGCCUGGGAGUGUGUCCCUCAUCACCCAGCAGCCCUCGGUGAGCAGCUCUUUCCCUUUAAUGGAGCCAAGUCCAGGCCAUGUCCAGUGUUACUCAACACAGCACACAACAACCUUAGCAUCCAGUGGCAGAUUGCAUUCAGAGUUUUAAUGGGCAUCUGGGAGAGAGAUCAAAGUUACCCCACCUAGAAGUCUUCCAGAGUCUGCCUCCUCUGUGGAUCACAGGCAACUGGCCAUUGGUGUGGAGACAGAGGUGAACUCUUCGAGGAACAAUGCUUUUGGAGGUUGCCCCAAGAGAGCCAGGACAAGCUUCCUGAGAUCAGCCUUGCUCUGGUGUGUUGAGUUUGGGUCUAGGCUAGUCAGUGCCAGACCCAGGGAUCUCAGAUGGUGGCUGGCCUGUCUCUCCUCUCUUCUCCCACCGGAGUAUCGCUCUGUGUUGUGCCUCCAUCCUUUCUCUCAACCAGCCCUGACCGCCCGAGACUCCUCGCACACCACUCCCUUGCCGAUUCUCUGUGGAUUCACCCUGGUUUGAGGAGGUGGUAGUCAAAUCAGCACCUCCAUCUAGAGAGGAUGGCGCAGAGUAACUGAAGACACAGAGACAAAAGAUCUGACGUUCUCUCAGCAAGUGUUACAGGCAGAGGCAAGCCAGCCUGAGCAAGGUCACGUUCUGGAGAUGAGGAAAUGGUGGAUCAGAGAGGGAUCCCAACCUUCUGAGGACCGCCCCCUCCGCCCCUAUUCUAGCACCCAUCACAAGGCUGUUGUGAGAUGGUCAGGGAACCGGACUUCAGCUCUGACAGCAGCGCUUGAAGAAACAUCAUUGUGCUUUCUGUCUCCAGCUCUGUUGAGUAUGUAUGUAAUUGGUGAGAAUGGACAGACACAAGGACUACUGUUACUUCUCGAGGCUCCAAUUCCCAAGAAGACAUGGUGUUCAGCUGUAUCUUCGAAGAUGUACCCGUCCAAAGGGAGCUUGGUCUCCACGGGUUAGGCAUGCAGAGAGACACAGAUGUUCACGGACCCCCAACCCACCCGCAAGGCACACUGUCGUAAGUUCUCCGUCCUACCUAUAGAGCGACGGCUUGCCUUUAUUUAUUGCACUUGGAACCCUCCAAGGUUUCUUUUCUGACUUGAUCUCAUUUGCAUCUCAAAAAGAGAGAGAGAACAAGUUUGACUCCAAUUUUACCAGAGAGGAAACUGAAUCAUGUCCUUCCCAAACCCCCAGGAUACGAACCUUAGACUGGGGGCAGUGUUAGAGAAGGUGCCUUAAAAGAAGUAAUUACAUGAAAAUGGGGUCACUGGGGUGAGCUCUAAUCCAAUCUGACUGGUGUCUUUAUACAGAGAGAUUAGAGCACAAAUACAAACACCCAGGCAAGAUCACAUGAUCACACAGCGAGAGAUUCCUGCAAAGACAAGAGGGAGGCAGGCCCAGAAGAAGCCAACCUCUCCCCACCCUUUUGUCCACAAGUCUUGGUUUUCAGUACGGGAAGAAAACUCUAUUUUAAGCCACCUGAUCCUCGGUAUUUUAUCAUGGCUGCCAUGCGGACUACUACGGAUUCCCAGGUUCUGAAACUUCCCCAAGGUCUCACGCUUAGCGAGAGCCAGAGUGAACAUCAGUUCUCAAGUCUUACACCUUGUAAAUCCCUUAUGGAAUAAAAUAUUUUACAUAUGGAAACCAGUUCUGCCGCGUAGCUGGCGAUGUGCAGUGGCUCUCACUGACUGCCACGCUGUUUGAAUCGUAUUUAUAGCAAAAUGUCUCUACGCACGGGGGAAGGCGGUCCAGGGCUGCUGCCCUGUUCCGCGUAGUCCAUCCAUGGGAACGCUAAGGAAAGCUGUUUAUCUGUCCUGGUUUGUCCAGUGUCCAGUGUCUCAGCACCGGAAGGAGAAUGACAAGGUAAUAAACAAACAACCUGCUAUAUUCUGACAGAGCCAAGGCCAGUGAGAACAGCCUUCUGGCCAGCACACUUACACCCCCAGCACCCUCCCUACCCUGGGAGCCAGGCUCUGAUGUUGCUCUGUCCACUGCCUCUUGGUGACUCCAGUCUGUGGUCUUUUGCUUUGCAUUGGGACACGGAACUGAAACUCGGAUGUGAGCAGAGUUUUACAUGAGGAACCCAUUUCUCUCUUUCCUCCUUGCCUUGGGUUGGAGGCUCCAAACUGGGCUUAACCCCGGGAGGAAUGUUCUCAAACCACAAGGAACAAGACUUCCUCUGGCACAGAGUGGCCCCAGAAUGGGUGGCUGAGGAUCCCCUGUAUAUGGGCCCCAUCGUCCCCUCUCUGCCUACAGGGCUGUAGCUACAUUUGUCCUUCCUGGGAGUGAGGUAGGGGCAGGGAGUGAAGGCUGACUUUCCCAGCAGGCGGACAUCUAGCUAUCUGGCUAAGAUAGUAACUGUUGAAAGUGACAGUGACAUAGUCCAUACUCACAGACUCAACAGCAUGCUCCCUUUCGGGUUCUGGAGCCGGGCUCUGUCCUGCUUAAGGUCUACCAGACAUAAUGACAUUGCAUCCUGCCUGUCCCUAGGUCCAAAAGCUAAGGGUUCUGAGGACUCACGUUCUUGCUCAUUCAUUUAGAAAACGGGUUGGAUUCAUGAGAAGUCUGGGUGGCAUCUUCUUAUUGACAUCUUUGUAGCCUUCAGGAAGAUCAUUGGAUCCAUAUCAACAAACGCAUACACUUGGCAAUCGUCCCAAUAUACCAAUAAAAGCCAAUUUCCAAUCUGUGAUCUCCAUGCCAAGCGGUAGAGUUGGACCCUUGCCAGGACUAUGGCACGGUGACCCUGGAGUUGUGGGAAUCUUUUUUUUUUUUUUUUUGGUUCUUUUUUUUCCGGAGCUGGGGACCGAACCCAGGGCCUUGCGCUUCCUAGGUAAGCACUCUACCACUGAGCUAAAUCCCAUUUUCAUGAUUUCCACAGGAGAACUGCUCCGGCUCCCGGCGUCCCACAGCAGAGUACUUGUGUUUUCCAUUUGCUCCAAGUCUCUAGCUGUGUCUUAGGGAGGUGAUGGUGGCGUUGGCAAUGGAAUCAAGGGCCUUGACAAGUAAGUGUGCUCAGAAAGCACGCUACCAUCAAGUGAACUGCCUUUUGAACCCCACCCCACUAGACUUAUCAUCAAAGCUCCAGCAACGUUUCCAGCCAUACACGCAUGGGGACAGCUUCCUGAGGAAGAGUCCCCCAGAUUCAGGCCAGCAACGCAUCUGGAAGAAAGGGAGCAAACCAGGGCUGCUUUCUUCUGACUCAGCCCACCUGAGGGGGGUCGCAGAAGGGAGGCACCUGGAAGCCAGCAGUCGCCCAGGAAGAGGUCUGCUCCUGGAAAGUCUUCAAAGCCAGGUGAAGUGUAGCAUCCUGAAGGAAAAAGGAGGGCCGGGCAGUGGGCCACUCCGCAGGAAUCAAAGCCAGGGGCAGGGGAGAGGGUGUGGUGGGCUGCUGACAGAAAGAAGUGGCUGGCUGCUCGCUCCAAAGGGGACCUGUUCCCAGCUUGCCACUUGGAUGGCACCUUUCAAAGCCCUUCAGAGACACCAGGACAAAGGGAUGAGAGGCUCCGCAGUGAGGGUGCGGCACCUCCCCGUCUUUGAGCUCAGUGCAGCUACAGAGCCGCCCUUGGCCACUCUGUGCUCCCUCGCUGGUGUCCUUUGAUCCGCCGACUGCUCCAGCAGCCCUUUCGAGGAAGCCAGAGAAGGGGCGCCCAGCUCCCACCGGAGAGGAGGUAGGGUUUCUUUGAAAUGGAAUGACAAUCUUGUUGGCUUAACAGGAAGCUAUCCACCCCAAAGUUGGGUUUGUUUCUCACCUUCCCCCACCAAACCAAGAAGUAGGUCAAGCAGGUCAUUUGCAAGAAAGCGCCCUUCGUUCAAGCGACUCUCAUUCACAGAGAGGCUGGGUGGAUGGGCAUUGGUUGUUAUGUUAGAGGGUGAGAACGUAGUGCAUGCCCAUAGUGCAUGCCCAGACAGAAUGGUUCCUUAGGCAUAGCGUGAGAAGCCAAUGCCUGCCGCCUGCCUUGAAGUGUUCCUUCACAUUGUCUUAACGUUUAUGAGUCCUUUGCGGACCAGACCACACCUUUCUCUCCUGGCUGGUUCUGCUGGUUGUAACAGGUCAUUAAAACAGCUGUUUACAGACUGCUUGACCAUUCCCAUCUUGAACUCUUCCUGGACAGGAGACAGCUGCUCCUGAGUUUACAUGUUAAAUAAUAAAAUAAUAAUAAAUAAUAAUAAUAAUACCACCUUUUCCAGCUAGGCUCAUCUUCCAGAAAACAAAAGGUAGAGCCCUUUAAUAACAUCAUCCAGAUUCAAUUCAAACUAUCGUCUCAAAUUUUGGAGCACCAGCAACUCUGUUUAAUAUUCCAAAAGAAUGAUUUCUGAGACUAAGAGAUUACAGAUUGAGAGAGAAGUACAGUUGCUUGCUGGUCUUGGAGUCGGGAGGUUGAGAUGUGGGUCUGGCCAGUGUGGCAGGAAGAUGACAUCACGGUGGUUCAGGCAAAGUGCCCACAACAUGUCCUUUCUUCCAAAUGUCUCUCCUCAAGAGUAGGAAAUCAACUUCUCAAAAGUCGGGAAGCUCUCAGUGUUUUCUCGGUUAGAGUUGUCAAUAUGAAGCCACACUCACAAUGUGCUGUUUUGGGUUGGUGGCCUGCAGCUAGGACUGACCGCUCUAAAGGCUGUCUGUCGGUCACCUGACUCUGGAAGGCAAGGAGCACAGCUCACAUUUCAGAUACCUGAGGAUCCUGAAGACAGCCAGGUUGAUAAGCCUGAAGAGAGAUACUCCCAGGGUUGACUGGUGACAUGGGGCUGGUGGAUAACAUUCCUCUGCCAUCUAGUGGCGCUGGCCUAUACUUCCCUCUCAGAGAAACUUCUAGGGGCUCCCACACCCCGGCAGAGUGCCUAGAGUUUUAUUUCUUUCAUUCAGGUUGAGUUUUUUAAAUCAGCCAUCCUAAGAGUCAGUGAGACUGUUCAGGAAGUGAGGGCACUUCUUACGGAGCCUGGAUGCCUGAGUUUGAGCCCUGGAGCCACAUGAUCGAAGGAGCACACCUGUCUACUCCACAUGGUAGAGGGAGAGCGCCUGUCUACUCCACAUGGUAGAGGGAGCGCACCUGUCUAGUCCACAUGGUAGACGGAGAGCGCUUGUCUACUCCACAUGGUAGAGGGAGAGCGCCUGUCUAGUCCACAUGGUAGAGGGAGAGCGCCUGUC